RNAcentral lists this long non-coding RNA (2191 nucleotides) under Malus domestica (apple). RNAcentral's name for it is "long non-coding RNA (MDOM_LNC000241)". The record is from RNAcentral. Lineage: Eukaryota; Viridiplantae; Streptophyta; Magnoliopsida; Rosales; Rosaceae.
CCACCACGAGGAAGGACCACUUCCCAUUGCCGUUCAUUGACCAAAUGCUUGAGAGGUUAGCGGGUUAUGCUUUUUAUUGUUUUCUUGAUGGUUAUUCUGGUUAUAAUCAAAUUGUUAUUUCACCCGAGGACCAAGAAAAAACCACUUUUACAUGCCCGUUUGGAACAUUUGCAUAUCGUCGCAUGCCUUUUGGUUUAUGUAAUGCACCUGCUACAUUUCAAAGAUGUAUGAUGAGCAUAUUUUCUGAUCAUGUAGAAAAGAUAAUUGAAGUGUUUAUGGAUGAUUUUAGCGUAUUUGGUGAUUCGUUUGAUAGUUGUUUGCAUAAUCUAAGUGUGAUCCUAAAACGUUGUGUUGAAACUAACCUUGUACUUAAUUGGGAAAAGUGUCAUUUUAUGGUUAAACAAGGUAUCGUUUUAGGUCAUAUAAUCUCUGAAAAGGGUAUUGAGGUUGAUAAGGCGAAAAUAGAUCUUGUACGUCACUUACCCUCUCCGACUUCGGUUAGAGAGGUUCGUUCGUUUCUUGGCCAUGCAGGAUUUUAUCGUAGGUUUAUUAAAGAUUUCUCGAAGAUAGCACAACCUCUUUGCCGACUCCUACAAAAAGAAGUGGCGUUUGAAUUCACCAAGGAGUGCACGGCAUCAUUCAACCGACUCAAGGAGUUGUUGACCACGGCACCCAUCAUUGUUCCACCGGAUUGGAGUCUACCUUUCGAGCUCAUGUGUGAUGCGUCCGACUAUGCUUUAGGAGCUGUUUUAGGACAAAGAAAGGACAAGAGGCCGCAUGUCAUUUACUACGCCUCACGGACGUUGAACGAUGCACAAUUGAACUACUCCACUACGGAAAAAGAACUUCUUGCCGUUGUCUUUGCUUUAGAUAAAUUUCGAUCAUAUUUAAUUGGAACUAAAGUAAUUGUUUUCACUGAUCAUGCAGCUCUGAAGUACUUGCUCACCAAAAAGGAGGCCAAGCCACGGCUAAUUCGAUGGAUAUUAUUACUUCAAGAGUUCGACAUAGAGAUUCGGGACAAGAAGGGAAGUGAGAACGUGGUGGCUGACCACCUAAGCCGAAUGGUGCAUAAUGAGGAGUUGGUGCCGAUUUUGGAGACAUUCCCCGAUGAACAAUUGCUGUCCAUUAAGGUUAGUGCACCUUGGUAUGCCGAUAUUGUUAAUUUUUUGGUGUCAAAACGUAUUCCAAGUGAGUUCACUAGGCACCAAACGUGAUAAACUUAGGCAUGAUGCACGGUUUUUAUGUGUGGGAUGAUCCGUACUUAUGGAAAUUUUGCCCCGAUCAGAUUAUACGUCGUUGUGUGCACGAUUCUGAAUGUCAUUCAAUUUUGAGUUUUUGUCACACAUAUGCAUGUGGAGGGCACUUUGGUACACAACGCACAGCCCUUAAGGUGUUACAAUGUGGAUUUUAUUGGCCGAGUAUUUUUAAAGAUGCUAAAACUUUUUGCUUAACAUGUGAUAAAUGCCAACGAAUGGGUGGUAUUAGUGCUAGGGACCAAAUGCCGCAGGUUUCUAUCCUAAAUGUUGAAAUUUUUGAUGUUUGGGGUAUUGAUUUUAUGGGUCCUUUUCCUUCUUCGUAUGGUUUUACAUAUAUUUUGCUUGCGGUUGAUUAUGUGUCAAAGUGGGUGGAAGCCAAGGCCACCCGGACUAAUGAUUCUAAGGUGGUUGCAGAUUUUAUUAGAACUAACAUUUUUGCAAGGUUCGGAAUGCCACGAGUGAUCAUUAGUGACGGAGGGUCACACUUUUGCAAUCGGACUAUUGAAGCGUUAUUGAGAAAAUACAGUGUCACCCAUAAGGUUUCUACACCUUACCAUCCUCAGACUAAUGGGCAAGCCGAGGUUUCCAACCGGGAGAUCAAGCAAAUACUUGAGAAGACCGUUGGGCCAACGAGGAAGGAUUGGAACUUACGACUUGAUGACGCACUUUGGGCAUAUCGUACGGCGUACAAAACCCCCAUUGGGAUGUCCCCCUUCCGACUUGUCUAUGGCAAGGCGUGCCAUCUUCCUGUUGAAUUGGAGCACAAAGCACUUUGGGCCAUUAAGAGAUUUAACAUGAACCUCGAGGAAGCAGGAAGUCAAAGGAGAUUGCAAUUGAAUGAGCUUGAUGAGAUACGGCUUGAGGCGUACGAUAAUGCAAGCAUUUACAAGCAAAAGACCAAAGCUUUCCAUGACAACAUGAUCCGUGGGAAAUCA